UGCCUUACACAUGCAAGUCGAACGGCAGCACGGAGCAAUCCUGGUGGCGAGUGGCGAACGGGUGAGUAAUAUAUCGGAACGUGCCCAGUAGUGGGGGAUAACUGCUCGAAAGAGCAGCUAAUACCGCAUACGACCUGAGGGGUGAAAGGGGGGGAUCGCAAGACCUCUCGCUAUUGGAGCGGCCGAUAUCAGAUUAGCUAGUUGGUGGGGUAAAGGCCUACCAAGGCAACGAUCUGUAGUUGGUCUGAGAGGACGACCAGCCACACUGGGACUGAGACACGGCCCAGACUCCUACGGGAGGCAGCAGUGGGGAAUUUUGGACAAUGGGCGCAAGCCUGAUCCAGCAAUGCCGCGUGCAGGAAGAAGGCCUUCGGGUUGUAAACUGCUUUUGUCAGGGAAGAAAAUCCUCUAGGUUAAUACCCUUGGGGGAAUGACGGUACCUGAAGAAUAAGCACCGGCUAACUACGUGCCAGCAGCCGCGGUAAUACGUAGGGUGCAAGCGUUAAUC
This 508-nucleotide ribosomal RNA is filed under the name uncultured bacterium. RNAcentral's name for it is "bacterial SSU rRNA". It matches the Rfam family "Bacterial small subunit ribosomal RNA", at positions 45 to 546 of the family's 1533-position model. The record is from RNAcentral.